Molecule: non-coding RNA, 72 nt
Organism: Bos taurus (domestic cattle)
Lineage: Eukaryota; Metazoa; Chordata; Mammalia; Artiodactyla; Bovidae
Source: Rfam
UCCUUGGUGGUCCAGUGGCUAAGAUUCUGCACUCCCAAUGCAGGGGGCCUAGGUUCGAUCCCAGUCAGGGAA